This is a non-coding RNA of Arachis ipaensis, 1505 nucleotides long. Lineage: Eukaryota; Viridiplantae; Streptophyta; Magnoliopsida; Fabales; Fabaceae. The record is from RefSeq and is a predicted model, not a curated record.
UGCUUUGUAAUUGUCAGUUUAUUUAUGCUAUGAAUUACGAUGGCCAAGUGGUGUACUGAGAGUCGCUUAAGCACCUAUGGCAAUUAGUAGUCGAUCUUGGUUAUCACAUGUUUGGACUAAUUUUGGUCUACUUCUCUAAUACCAUUUUCUAUAUUUUAAUUGUUUAUAUCAUUUUUUAUCUUUUGUUCUUGCGAAGGCUUUCAAAUUCUUUGUUUUAAAGUUGUUUGAACGAAUAAUUUUUUAACAAGGAACAAAUGGAAUAAAUCAAAAGGGUAUUUGAAUUUGGUCUCAUUUUUAUCCAAUUCUAUUUUGUUGCUUCCCAACUAAAUUUGUAUGUUGAUGCAGUCUAAAAGAGAAUGCGAAGAGAACUUUUGAGAACAGGUGAAUGUGGGGAAGACACGGAUCUGGGACUAUUCACGUUUGUUUGCUCAGCAAGACUUAUAGAACCAUUGCCAGGUUCUACAUCCAUGGACAAAGUUGGGUCUUUCUUCUCUCUCAAAAGUCAAAACAACGCCAACUUUCAAAGUGAACUCUCACUAACGAUACAAUUCCACCAUAGAUAUGCAUUUUUGUCUUAAGACUUGCUCCACUUAUGUGUUUGAUUGUUGGGAUGUAGAACACAUUCAAUUUUUACUAGUUUUAGAUAUAUGAUAUUUUCUGAGUUUGUAAGUGCUGUUUAGCGUCUCAUGAAGUUUUCUUUCUUGUCCUAAAAAGAGAUGAAGGAUGAGUUUACAAUGUGAGUAUUUAAAAAAAAAGGAAAGAAAAUCAAUUAUGGUGAAUAACUACUCACCAGUCACCAUGACAAUUGAUGUGUUAGUCUCCUAAAUUUCUAUUGAUUAAUAGUGUAAGGAUAUUUUGCACUGUGUGAAUAAACUACUAGAAUGCAGAAACUUUAGUAUGCAACACCAGUACAUAAGGUUAAAUUUCUGACCCCGCAAAAAAAAAAAAAGGUUUAAUUAUUUUGUCGGUCCUUAUAUAAUUUCACCGAAUUUUCAAUUAGGUCCCUAUACUUUUUUUUUUCUAAUUAGGUCCCUAUACUAUAUCAGAUUUUGUAAGUAAGUCCUUCUCGUGACAAAAACGUUGAAAUUAACGAAAUAUUCUAUUAAACUAUACAGAAUAUUCAGUAAAGUGUUAGGUAUAUUCGGUUUGUUUAACAGAAUAUUUUGUUAAUUCCAUCGUUUUUGUCACGGUAGGAGCUUAAUUACAAAAUCUGAUAUGGUAUAGGGACUCCAUCGAAAAGAAAAAAAGUAUAGAGAUCUAAUUGAAAAUUUAGUGAAACUAUAGGGACCGACAGAAUAAUUAAACCAAAAAACAAAGGAGACAAGAUUCAAGUGAAGCCUGCAGUCUGGAAUUUUACCAAAACCUUCAACAUGUCAAGACUACAAUAUCGUACAUAUAACAUAUCAACAGAUUUCAGAUGCACUCUACAAGACUCAUCCAAUCACUUUGUGCAAAGUUAGCCUUUUUCACCUAUACUAUUUAGAUAAAUAAAUUCUACGAAAAAA